GCUUCCUCCUUGGAGGGACCUCAGAAGUCCCAGGCUUCAUAGUGUCAAGUUCAACAGAAAGAGUAGUUUUCAUCUUUCCACAGUUCUUAGAAAAGUCCUGAGACUGAGUUUUACUGGGCAAUGUCAGUUUAGUAAAAGGGACAGGAUGUUAGCAAAGGAAGGCAUUACCAGCAAUAAGAAGUGAUAGCUGCCACGGGAAGCAAAUGCAGAAACAGCAGCCUGGGCUGUUCCAUGCAGGGGAGUUCAGCUCAGGUGGGCAAAACCAGAUAACUAACAUGAACAGUGGAACAAUCAGUGAACCAAUACAAGGGUUAAAUAAGCUAGCAAUUAAAAGCUGUAUCACUGGUCUAAAGAUAGAAGAUCAAGUAGAAAAUCAGCGCAAGAGGAAAGAUAUACGAAAACUAAUGACCUUCAAGGUUUGGCUGAACAGCUGAACUGCAGGAUGGAUUGGAAUGCCUAGAACCAGAAACUUAGGAUGCCUAGAACCAGAAACUCAGCCAUUGCUGAGGUUCACUGCUUCUCAGCGCUGCUGCUUUAUACACACAAACUGUAUUCUCUCCCACUGUUUUGUCUUCUUUCAUAAAGCAGGAAACAUAGGUGCUCA
This 604-nucleotide long non-coding RNA is filed under the name Homo sapiens (human). Its description in RNAcentral is "non-protein coding lnc-RUVBL1-1:2". The record is from RNAcentral. Lineage: Eukaryota; Metazoa; Chordata; Mammalia; Primates; Hominidae.